CCUACGGGUGGCAGCAGUGAGGGAUAUUGGUCAAUGGGCGCGAGCCUGAACCAGCGAAGUAGCGUGAAGGAUGACUGAUCUACGGGUUGUAAACUUCUUUUAUAAAGGAGUAAAGUGAGGCACGUGUGGCUUUUGGUAUGUACUUUAAGAAUAAGGAACGGCUAACGCCGUGCCAGCAGCCGCGGUAAUAAUGAGGAUCCGAGCGUUAUCCGGAUUUAGUGGGUUUAAAGGGAGCGUAGAUGGGGUGUUAAGUCAGUUGUGAAAGUUUGCGGCUCAACCGUUAAAUUGCACUUGAUACUGGCAGUCUUGAGUACAGUUGAGGUAGGCGGAAUUCGUGGUGUAGCGGUGAAAUGCUUAGAUAUCACGAAGAACUCCGAUGGCGAAGGCAGCUUACUAAACUGCCACUGACAUUGAGGCUCGAAAGUGUGGGUAUCAAACAGGAUUAGAUACCCGUGUAGUC
RNAcentral lists this ribosomal RNA (460 nucleotides) under uncultured bacterium. RNAcentral describes it as "partial 16S ribosomal RNA". It matches the Rfam family "Bacterial small subunit ribosomal RNA", at positions 338 to 795 of the family's 1533-position model. The record is from RNAcentral.